Long non-coding RNA from Musa acuminata AAA Group (dessert banana), 562 nucleotides. RefSeq lists it as uncharacterized. Lineage: Eukaryota; Viridiplantae; Streptophyta; Magnoliopsida; Zingiberales; Musaceae. The transcript has 2 exons. The record is from RefSeq and is a predicted model, not a curated record.
CCGUAGCAUUACUUGCGGAGUGAUCCGUAGUUUGCGUACUCGAUCCGGUUGAGCUCGAGCUUUUAUACGGUCAUUGUUGUGCAAGCAACGAUCCAUAGGCAACACGAUCGAGUACAGCGCCUUGAUGGUGAUGCCUCCUCGCGGCGUGCCUGCCAACGCACGGGAAACGCUGGCGUUUGCUUCUGCUGCUGGACUUCGUCGGCUUGUUUGUGAGCCCCGAGAGAGUCGACUCGUACGGUGGAUAUACAAACGAGAGCAGAUGGAGCAGCGUCGGACAUGCAGAAGGCUGCCGACUCUAUCAAAUCAUUCUCUGAAGGCGCAAAGCCAUCAGAGUCGCGGUGGAGAAUCGUGACGGACGCACAUGCCGCACCGGAAAGAACGCCGGUCCUCUUCGCUAUGUCCACCGGGGGGUGCCAUCUCUCACGUGCACCCAUGCACGUCAACUUUUAUUUUGUUUAUAUAUACAAAUACAUAAUUUUGGAUGAAUUGUCGAAAGAAUUUAUUUUAUGUUUUUUUUGCUUCUUUUCAUAAUUUCUAAAGGGUGUUUCUCAUUUUACUGUAA